AUGUCGACCGCGAAAGUGGUGGAUCCUGCUUUCCAAGGGGCUGGCCAAAAAGUUGGGAUAGAAAUAUGGCGGAUUGAAGAUUUUAAGCCAGUUGCAUUGCCAAAAUCUGAUUAUGGUAAAUUCUAUUCUGGAGAUUCAUAUAUAGUUUUGCAGACAACUUCUCCUAAGGGUGGUGCAUAUCUGUACGACGUCCACUUCUGGAUUGGGAAAGACUCAAGCCAAGAUGAAGCUGGCACUGCAGCAAUCAAGACGGUCGAACUCGAUUCUGUACUUGGGGGUCGUGCAGUCCAGUAUAGGGAACUCCAAGGUUAUGAAUCUGACAAGUUCCUGUCAUACUUCAAACCUUGCAUUAUACCCAUGGAGGGUGGUUUCGCCUCUGGGUUCAAAACGCCAGAAGAGGAGACGUUUGAAACACGGUUAUAUAUUUGCAAAGGAAAGAGAGCUAUUAGAAUUAAGCAGGUUCCCUUUGCACGGUCAUCAUUAAACCAUGAUGAUGUGUUUAUCUUAGAUACUGAAAAUAAAAUUUAUCAAUUCAAUGGUGCAAACUCCAAUAUCCAAGAAAGGGCUAAAUCACUGGAAGUGAUCCAACAUUUAAAGGAGAAGUACCAUGGGGGUGUGUGUGAUGUUGCAAUCGUUGAUGAUGGAAAACUACAAGCGGAAUCAGACUCUGGUGAAUUCUGGGUCCUUUUUGGAGGUUUUGCACCUAUUGGGAAAAAAACUGUUAGUGAUGACGAUGUUGUACUGGAAACUACAGCACCCAAGCUCUACAGUAUCAAUGACGGUGAAUUAAAGUUUGAAGAUAUACCUCUUACAAAAGCAGUCCUUGAGAACACAAGAUGUUUCUUACUUGACUGCGGGGCUGAAAUGUUUGUAUGGGUUGGUCGGGUAACACAACUCGAGGACAGAAAAGCUGCCACUAAAGCAGUUGAGGAAUUCAUCAUUAAUCAGAAAAGGCCAAAGACAACAAGAGUGACACAAGUGAUUCAGGGUUAUGAAAGCCAUGCAUUCAAGUCAAAAUUUGAAUCAUGGCCGGCGGGUACUGCAACAGGGAACUCAGGUGCAGAGGAUGGGCGGGGAAAAGUUGCAGCUUUAUUGAAGCAACAAGGCGUUGAUGUAAAGGGAGCUCCAAAAAGCAGCACUCCAGUAAACGAGGAAGUUCCUCCUUUGCUUGAAGGUGGUGGAAGACUCGAGGUGUGGUGCAUCGAUGGAAAUACUAGGAGUCCACUUCCAAAAGAGGACAAUGGAAAAUUUUACAGUGGAGACUGUUAUAUUGUUCUUUAUACAUAUCAUUCGGGUGACAAGAAAGAAGAAUAUUAUCUCAAUUACUGGAUCGGGAAGGAAAGCACAGCGGAUGAUCAAGUGAUGGGAGCUGAACUAGCCAAUACAAUGUGGAAUUCACUGAAAGGAAGGCCUGUUCUGGGUCGUAUUUAUCAAGGGAAGGAACCACCGCAAUUUGUUGCUCUUUUCCAGCCCAUGGUUAUCUUGAAGGGUGGUAUCAGUUCUGGAUACAAGAAGAUUACAGAAGAAAAGGGUGCGGCCAGUGGAUCUUACUCUCCCGAUGGCAUAGCUCUGUUUCGGGUGUCUGGAACAGCUAUCCAUAACAAUAAAACGCUUCACGUUGACGCGCUAGCUACAUCUUUAAGUUCCACAGACUGUUUUGUAUUGCAAACUGGAAGUGCUAUGUUUACAUGGCAUGGCAAUUCUAGCACUUACGAGCAACAGCAGUGGGCAGCGAAAGUUGCUGAAUUCUUGAAGCCUGGUGCGACAGUGAAACAUUGCAAGGAGGGAACAGAGAGUUCUGCUUUCUGGUUUGCUCUUGAUGGAAAACAGAGCUAUACAAGCAAACCCAUCAUGCAGGAUACUAUUGUCAGAGAUCCUCAUUUGUAUGCCUUCUCAAUUAGGAAAGGGAGACUGGAGGUUACCGAGAUCUUCAAUUUUUGCCAAGAUGAUAUGUUGACUGAAGACUUGAUGAUUCUUGACACACACGGAGAGGUCUUUAUUUGGAUUGGUCAGUGUGUGGAACCAAAAGAGAAACAAAAGGCGUUCGAAAUUGGCCAGAAAUACAUAGAGCAUGCGAUGUCGAUUGAAGAUCUUUCCCCUUAUGUACCACUUUACAAAGUCUCUGAAGGGAAUGAACCAUGCUUCUUCAAGACAUACUUCUCUUGGGAUAACACAAAAUCUGUGAUUCAUGGGAAUUCGUUCCAAAAGAAACUUUCACUUCUUUUUGGAUUACGCUCAGAGGGUGCAUCUAGGAGCUCUGGUAAUGGUGGACCCACUCAAAGGGCAUCUGCAUUAGCAGCUCUAUCAUCUGCAUUCAAUCCAUCUUCGCAGCCUAAGCAGGCUAACGAUAGUAGGCCUCCAAGCAGUUCGGGUGAUGGACCCACUCAACGUGCCUCUGCACUGGCUGCCUUGUCCUCAUCUGCAUUCAAUCCAACUCCGCAGCAGAAGCAGGCUACUGAUAGCAGGCCUCCAAGCUCGGGUGAUGGACCCACUCAACGUGCCUCUGCACUGGCUGCCUUGUCCAAUGCGUUUAAUCCAUCCUCAAAACCAAAAACUCCACCUCCGUCACGUUCAGGUCAAGGGUCACAAAGAGCAGCUGCAGUUGCUGCGCUAUCCUCUGUGCUGACUGCUGAGCAGUCUGGAUCAUCUGACAAUCUCAGAGCUAGCAAGACGAGCACAACAUCAGAAAAGACUGAAGCGGAGGUCGUCGUAAUAUCUCCAUCGGAGGCAUCUCCUCGCUCUGAAGCUGGGGAAUCCUCUGAAUUUCAGUCAGAGAAAGAUGUUGCAGUGGAUGAGGUGCCAUCCGAGGUAGAUGUAGCAGAGCCUGAGGCGCUGGAGGUGCCAGAGGAACAAGAAACUGAGCAUGUUGGUGAAGCAACAUUUAGCUAUGACCGCUUGAUAUCUAAAUCUACUGAUCCUAUCCGUGGGAUAGACUACAAACGCAGAGAGGCGUACUUAUCAGAGAGCGAGUUCCAGACCGUCUUCGGCAUCACCAAGGACGCGUUCUACCAGCAGCCAGGGUGGAAGCAAGAGCUGCAGAAGCGGAAAGCCGACCUCUUUUGA
This 3063-nucleotide ribosomal RNA is filed under the name Triticum aestivum (bread wheat). Its description in RNAcentral is "partial small subunit ribosomal RNA". The record is from RNAcentral. Lineage: Eukaryota; Viridiplantae; Streptophyta; Magnoliopsida; Poales; Poaceae.